AACGAACGCUGGCGGCAUGCCUAACACAUGCAAGUCGAACGAGAUCUUCGGAUCUAGUGGCGCACGGGUGCGUAACGCGUGGGAAUCUGCCUUGGGGUUCGGAAUAACUCCCCGAAAGGGGUGCUAAUACCGGAUGAUAUCGAAAGAUCAAAGAUUUAUCGCCCUGGGAUGAGCCCGCGUAGGAUUAGCUAGUUGGUGUGGUAAAGGCGCACCAAGGCGACGAUCCUUAGCUGGUCUGAGAGGAUGAUCAGCCACACUGGGACUGAGACACGGCCCAGACUCCUACGGGAGGCAGCAGUGGGGAAUAUUGGACAAUGGGCGAAAGCCUGAUCCAGCAAUGCCGCGUGAGUGAUGAAGGCCUUAGGGUUGUAAAGCUCUUUUACCCGGGAUGAUAAUGACAGUACCGGGAGAAUAAGCUCCGGCUAACUCCGUGCCAGCCGCCGCCGUAA
This 449-nucleotide ribosomal RNA is filed under the name uncultured bacterium. Its description in RNAcentral is "partial 16S ribosomal RNA". It matches the Rfam family "Bacterial small subunit ribosomal RNA", at positions 29 to 523 of the family's 1533-position model. The record is from RNAcentral.